Molecule: long non-coding RNA, 673 nt
Filed under: Heterocephalus glaber (naked mole-rat)
Lineage: Eukaryota; Metazoa; Chordata; Mammalia; Rodentia; Bathyergidae
Description: lncRNA (ENSHGLG00000050000.1)
Source: RNAcentral
GAGGUCUUGGUGGAAGUCGGUGUGACGAUAUCAAGGGGCGGGGCCGAAGCAGCCCAGGGGGCGGGUGUUUGAAAUCAGUGCCUUAGAGUAGACCCUAAAUAUCAUUUUAUACCUUGGAGAACCAAUUACUUAAUGUCUCUUCCGUCUUUUCCUUUCCCGACCCCCUCCCAGACUCCUCCAUUCCGGUUCUGCGUGGAUGGGAAGCCCCGGGUAGCCGACACCACGUCCCCGGCUAGGAUUACACCAAACUGUUUAAAUUCAACGGCUCCUGCUUCCAUCCUUUCUCCUGAGGUAGACCCAACAAGCCUAGGGAGUUGGGCUACGGAAAAACUAGUUUUCAUUUAAUUGGAUAUGAAGAAAGAACAAAUAUGUUACGGGGGCAACCACGAUCUUUAUAAAGUUUUACAUGUAGCAGUGGAAGUCAUCUUUCAAAAUUAUCAAUCUGAUGAGGUUAUAUUCCGUUAUCAUAUUCUGCUGCACUUAGAAUAAAAGUCGCAUUUAUGCAAGGUUUUCUUCAUUGCCUCUGGCCCGAAGUAACUAUACUGUCAUCCUUCAAGUCUCAGCUCUAAUAGUACAGGUACUUGAGGUUUUCCUUGCCGUCUCUAUUUGCACCCCCACAAACACCAUCACAUCACCCUGUUUUAUUUUUUCAUAGUUGUAAAUACUACCUGUG